Molecule: transfer RNA, 23 nt
Filed under: Pseudobarbus burgi (Berg River redfin)
Lineage: Eukaryota; Metazoa; Chordata; Actinopteri; Cypriniformes; Cyprinidae
Also listed under: 1 other name
Description: partial tRNA-Thr
Source: RNAcentral
GGAGGUUAAACUCCUCCCUAGUG